GACGAACGCUGGCGGCGUGCUUAACACAUGCAAGUCACGGGGGCUUCGCAAGGAGCAACCGGCGAACGGGUGCGUAACACGUGAACAACCUGCCCUCGUGUGGGGGAUAGCCGGGCUAACGCCCGGGUAAUACCGCAUACGUUCCUCUGGGGGAGUCCCUGGGGGAGGAAAGCUCCGGCGCACGGGGAGGGGUUCGCGGCCUAUCAGCUUGUUGGCGGGGUAAUGGCCCACCAAGGCGACGACGGGUAGCUGGUCUGAGAGGAUGGCCAGCCACAUUGGGACUGAGAGACGGCCCAGACUCCUACGGGAGGCAGCAGUGGGGAAUCUUGCGCAAUGGUCUAACGACUGACGCAGCGACGCCGCGUGUGGGAGGACGCCUUUCGGGGUGUAAACCACUGUUGCCCGGGACGAACAGCGCUAUUCGUGGCGUCUGACGGUACCGGGUGAGGAAGCACCGGCUAACUCCGUGCCAGCAGCCGCGGUAAUACGGAGGGUGCGAGCGUUGUCCGGAAUCAUUGGGCGUAAAGGGCGCGUAGGUGGCCC
This 543-nucleotide ribosomal RNA is filed under the name uncultured bacterium. RNAcentral describes it as "bacterial SSU rRNA". It matches the Rfam family "Bacterial small subunit ribosomal RNA", at positions 28 to 581 of the family's 1533-position model. The record is from RNAcentral.